UUAACUCUGUCUGAAUUGAAAACCCUGCAGGAAACCAUCAGAAGCCACACCCCACAGGGCACCAUCCUCCAACGCCCCAAACACCCAAGGAUGAGAAGCACCAAGGAAAACGGCCCAGGUCAAGGAGACAGGGGUACAUCAACACACUUUCCACAAGGGGCUGACAAGAGGCCAGACACACUUAAAGUCACACUUCCUCACCAGGGAGACGAUGGUUAUCUCAUCAGCUGAUGCUGAAGACUGAACAUGUUAACUAGAUCUAGUCUUUGGCACAACACAAGCAUCAAGCAAGUUCAUUUCGUCACAUGAGUACCGCAUGUUUCUCCUAAACAUUUCCGAUUUGGAAGUGAGGAGUGUAAUCAUCAUAUCUAGUGGUGGUGGUGGGGAACACCCCACCACAGGAACGGCCCAGAAAAGUAGCGGCAAGCACAUCACCGCUGUUUGGCCAGCCCCAAAACCCUGUCUGUGUAAACAGAGGCUGUGAGCUGCCAAGAAUCUUCUUUACAUGCUUGGCUCACGAAAACCCCCAAAGCCUGAAUUUGGAAGCUUCCCAGUCGAUCUCAUUAGGAAUGUGACCUGUGCCCUGGCCUUGGCUGGAAAGGCCACCGGACUCUACAGCCUAAUCUUUGAUGAUAGAUACACCCAGGAUGUCCAGGGAUGCUGCUGCAGGUGACGGUUUGAGCCAUGGUCCAAGCCUACCUACCAGACACGCCUAAGAAUCCAGAUGCAAAGCACGCACGAGAAAGGAUGUACAGCGCCAGAGGAGAAGCCCGACCACCUUGCAAAAACUUAGAACCGGAAAACAAGGAAGGUAAACUUCCCAGGGCUGGAAACCGUGCCCUCCUCUACUCCAGACAGGCGACUACCAGCUUUCUGCCACCCCUCUCUCCCCCCACCCUCCAAGAGGAGCAGGCUGAGAAACCCAAAGCAACAUCUUCAGAAAUGAAAGUGGUUAACCUAGAAUAUCUAACUGGAUGGCCUCCCUGGCUAACACCAGGGACUGCCCAAAGCUUGUUGGCCAGCCUGCUGAGCCAUGGAUACUCACCGGA
Long non-coding RNA from Myodes glareolus (Bank vole), 1049 nucleotides. RefSeq lists it as uncharacterized. Lineage: Eukaryota; Metazoa; Chordata; Mammalia; Rodentia; Cricetidae. The record is from RefSeq and is a predicted model, not a curated record.